Long non-coding RNA from Homo sapiens (human), 492 nucleotides. The record is from Ensembl. NCBI's taxonomy places the organism in Eukaryota, Metazoa, Chordata, Mammalia, Primates, Hominidae.
UGUGUGUUAUUAACUUUUUAUUUUGAAUUGAUUAUGGGUUGACAGGAAGUUACAAAAAAUGGUACAGAGGGGGCUCGUGUGCCCUUCACCCAGUUUCCCCCAAUGGUUACAUCUUACAUACUCAGAUGUGGUUUUAGAAAUUUAUGUUCGAUUAGAGCCGGGCCUGCCUCAUUCGCUGCCUGGUCAGGGGCAGACUCUGGAGUCUGGGGGAUUUGGGAGGAGCUUCUGGAAGAGAAGGGAAGCAGGAACCUCUGGGGAAUGGGUGAGAGAAGAUACCUUGAAAUGCCAGUGAGCCAAGGUAAGAAGACUGGAAGAAAAAGAGGUUGGAAAAAGGAAGUCUUGUUACAGGGAUCAGAGUGUUGGAAAUGGAGACAGCUGGCCUGUGGUGGUAGAGGUUGGGGAGUGGCUCAGGAAUUAAAUUCCCGAAUAGAGACCAGCGAUACCUAUUGGAUCAGCUUCAUACUUGCGGGAGCAGAGUAGGUAGAGCUUCUG